UCGCUCAGGUCUCCCAGCAUCGACGAAUAUGCGUUUCACCUUUUACUAAACCCAUCCGUGCUGGAGAACACUUACAAUGAGCCUAAAUGGUAAUUUUUGGAGCCCCUAUAAGGGGCC
RNAcentral lists this small nuclear RNA (117 nucleotides) under Tropilaelaps mercedesae. RNAcentral describes it as "U5 spliceosomal RNA". It matches the Rfam family "U5 spliceosomal RNA". From Rfam's summary of the family: U5 RNA is a component of both types of known spliceosome. Lineage: Eukaryota; Metazoa; Arthropoda; Arachnida; Mesostigmata; Laelapidae. The record is from Rfam by way of RNAcentral.